RNA transcript from Alligator sinensis (Chinese alligator), 7848 nucleotides. It is a transcript of the gene named YTH N6-methyladenosine RNA binding protein 3, with no coding region annotated. The transcript has 6 exons. NCBI's taxonomy places the organism in Eukaryota, Metazoa, Chordata, Crocodylia, Alligatoridae. The record is from RefSeq and is a predicted model, not a curated record.
UGGCGACUGCUCCCUCCUCUCCCUGCCUGGGGGCCUCACACUCUUCUCUUCCGUCCCAUUGCUUCCCCUCGUCCCAUGCUGCCUGGGCCUUUGCUUUUUCCGUAGGCCUCUGCCAUUCCUGGAAACUUUCUGGCCUCCGAGCUUCCCCUUUCUUUUUUCCUUCUGCCUUUUCCCUGCUCCCCAGUUCCCUGGGUGCCAGUGUGGAAGACAUCCCUCCCACUGUGCCCACUGUUCCUCAUACCUGUCUCUUAGUCUCUUCAUCUCUCCUGUGCAUCCUAGCUGGUCUGUGCUUGUAGGUGUUUUUCUUUUUUUUUCUGGUUUGAGGGAUUAGUCUCCAUUCUGUCUGGGUUAGGGGAAGAAGUGACUAAUUGGAGAGCAAAUGGUUAGAGUGACGAAGUCAAGGGGCCCACUCAAGCUCAGCGAUGCUUGCAGGUGGAGAGAUGCAUUAGCAGCUCAUGGCCUAGUAGCUAUUUGUAUCUUUUCUCCAUCCCCCACCCCCCUGCUCUGUUAUGGAAGACAUUCAGAUUGUGAUUUGCACUGUUGUAAUAUCACUUGACAGAUUAAAAGUGGUUUGUAGUUACUAAUCCUUGAACACCUCCGUGAAGUAUUAUCCCUGUUCCUCCUGUGGAAGCCUCAGAGGAAUGGCACCGGGGAAACCAUGCAAUUGACAGACCUGGGAACUAGAAAAAGACAACAAUGUGGCCUUCAUCUCAGAGACCUAAAGGACAGGGAAAUAAAGUUUCAGUACAAAACGGUUCGAUUCAUCAAAAGGAUGCAGUAAAUGAUGAUGAUUUUGAGCCAUAUCUAAGUAGCCAGACAAAUCAGAGUAACAGCUAUCCACCAAUGUCAGACCCAUACAUGCCUAGUUAUUAUGCUCCAUCCAUUGGAUUUCCAUACUCUCUAGGUGAAGCAGCAUGGUCCACUGCAGGAGACCCUCCAAUGCCGUAUUUGACAACCUAUGGACAGAUGAGCAAUGGUGAACACCAUUACAUACCUGAUGGUGUGUUUAGUCAACCUGGGGCAUUAGGAAAUACCCCUCCAUUCCUUGGUCAGCAUGGAUUUAAUUUUUUUCCGGGGAAUGCAGAUUUCUCUACAUGGGGGACAAGUGGAUCUCAGGGACAAUCAACACAAAGCUCUGCUUAUAGCAGCAGCUAUGGCUACCCUCCCAGCUCUCUUGGUAGAGCCAUAGCAGAUGGACAGGCUGGAUUUGGCAAUGAUACUUUGAGCAAGGUGCCUGGGAUUAACAGCAUUGAGCAAGGCAUGACUGGACUGAAAAUUGGUGGGGAUAUGACAGCUGCUGUGACAAAAACUGUAGGUUCAGCUCUGAGCAGUACAGGUAUGACCAGCAUUGCAGCAAAUAGCGUGCCCCCAGUUAGCAGUUCAGCACCUAAACCAACCUCAUGGGCUGCCAUUGCUAGGAAGCCUGCUAAACCUCAGCCGAAACUCAAGCCUAAAGGUAAUGUGGGAAUUGGAGGCCCUGCUGUGCCACCCCCACCUAUAAAACACAACAUGAAUAUUGGAACUUGGGAUGACAAGGGGUCAGUGGUGAAAGCACCCCCUACCCAACCAGUACUGCCUCCUCAGACUAUUAUCCAGCAGCCUCAGCCAUUAAUUCAACCACCACCAUUGGUGCAAAGCCAACUGCCUCAACAGCAGCCUCAGCCACAGCAACCACAGCAGCAACAAGGACCUCAGCAGCAGGCCCAGCCUCAUCAGUUGCAGCAGCAACAGCUGCAGAACCGCUGGGUGGCUCCUCGUAAUAGGGGUGUGGGCUUCAGCCAGAACAAUGGAGCUGGCAGUGAGAACUUUGGUUUAGGUGUUGUACCUGUCAGCUCUUCACCUUCUGGUGUAGAGGUGCAUCCAGUGCUGGAGAAACUAAAGGCCAUAAACAACUAUAAUCCCAAAGACUUCGAUUGGAAUCUGAAGAAUGGACGUGUGUUUAUAAUCAAAAGCUAUUCAGAGGAUGAUAUACACCGCUCCAUUAAGUACUCUAUCUGGUGUAGUACUGAACAUGGUAAUAAACGUUUGGAUGCUGCUUACCGUUCCCUGAAUGGAAAAGGUCCACUCUAUUUACUCUUCAGUGUGAAUGGUAGUGGACAUUUUUGUGGAGUGGCUGAGAUGAAGUCUGUUGUGGACUACAAUGCAUAUGCUGGAGUCUGGUCUCAGGAUAAGUGGAAGGGGAAGUUUGAUGUUAAGUGGAUCUUUGUCAAAGACGUUCCUAAUAACCAGCUGCGGCACAUUCGUUUGGAAAACAAUGACAACAAACCAGUUACCAAUUCGAGGGACACUCAAGAGGUACCCCUAGAAAAAGCUAAGCAAGUGCUUAAAAUAAUUGCUACUUUCAAGCAUACCACCUCAAUCUUUGAUGACUUUGCACAUUAUGAAAAGCGUCAAGAGGAGGAGGAAGCCAUGCGUAGGGGAAAGUUCAUGGAUCAAAUUCAGUGAGCAGUCUCUCGUUUCCAGAAGACCCACCCACUUUGUUCCCUAUCUUGGCAGCAGAAGACAGGAUCUGCUGGAUCUCCCUCUCAAAACUAGUCAAAGUAUCCUUUUAACCUCUGAGUCUUCUCUCCUAAAUUCUUUAAUGGCUGAAUACUUAAACUGAUGUGGCUUGGAAUCAGCAAAAGGCAGCCAAAUACUAGACUUAAACAUGUAUGUUUUUCUAAGUUAAAAAUCAGCUUUGUAUCUUUUCUUUGUUUAUGGUGUUUAACAUUGUGCAUUUCACUCUCUAGCCUGGUUAGUUCAUUUUGUGGUUGGCAAGCACUAGAUUCUUGUCUGCACUAAGGGCUUUUCUUGUCACAUUUACUAAUGGUUAAGGAUGUAUAGAGGGUAUUGACUGGCACAGCGUGCUAGUAAAAGCUCCCACUACAGGCACUGAUACACCAGCAAAACUGCCUUUGGCCAUGAAGCUAUUGCUGGGAUUGAUGAUGGGCAUUUUUAGUCUAAGUUUCUUUCAUUUUCAGAGAAUUCUGCUUAUAGUGUACCAGUAUAUAGCUGUACUGGUAUCAUCUUCCAAGUGUAGAUCUGACCUCAACCUAUUGAGCUUACUUGCGUUCCUAAUGCUGCAUGUGGGUGAAGGUUCAAAUGACAAAAAACCCCCAAACCUCUCCCCUGCCUUUUGCAAUUCCCAUUAAUAGAUUUUUGCAGAUCCAUACCAAACACUUAUUUUCAGCCUAAAGUAAUAAUAUUUUCUUUUUAGAUUGCAAUGGAUUUUUGUUAAAAUACUGCCUUAGAUAUUUUUCCUAGAAAUUACCCCUUUGACUGUUUACACUCUCCUCUCUUUCUACCAAAAUGUCAUAUUGUGAUUAUUUCAGUCUCAGAUAGAAAUCUGUUUUAAACUGAACCACAUGCUCAUUUUUACUCCUUAAAAUUUUGGAAAAAUAGGGGAAGCUAAAAUAAUAUUUUGGCUGAGCAACAAAGUCUUUAUUUUGAGGAAAAAAUCUAUCAGAACCUUCUUUUUGAGGGGGUGGGGGCUGCUAACUGUGAAUUUAGAGAGAAGUGAAAUUGCAAGGAAAUAUGUCGUCAGCCUGGAAGAGUUCAGUACAAAUUGCUAUAUUGUGGGUUCCACAUGUUUGUGUAUUCUAGAUUGAUGUGCACGUUUCCAAAGUCUGAGUUCUUCAGGUUCAUCCCCUUAAUUUUAUUUUGUUAGUAUGUGUAGCAAAUUCUGUUUGCAUGCAGGAAAUCUGCUUACCAUGUGGUCUAUAGCUAGCAGUUAUCAUUAACCAGCUGUUGCAUUAUCAUGUAAUUCUAAUUCAAAUGCUAAUUACUCUCCAUGUGCUGUCCAUAAACUCUACCCAGAGCCCAGUAGCUUCACUGCUUGUGAUAAAUUCUUCAGCGAAACAGACUGUAUUAUCCUUUGGCAGAGAACUUGAAUUGAUGGAAGCAGUUUACUAUUCUGGAGCAUUAAGGAGAGAUUUGGCAAAGAUUCGGCUAUUCUGAAUUUGAAGAGUACAGCAAAGAUUGUACAUGAAUGGAAACUGGGAGAGAAUCCAGACUUUGCACUGGAAAAUCUUUCUGUGUGAAGAUGGUUGGUUCCAGUGGUGGGAAGCUGCUUGGAUAAAGGAGAGAAAUAGAAACAAACAAUAACUGUACGGAGAUGUCCUGCUAGAAUUACAACACUAAUGAUGUAGACUCUGGAAAUGCCUAAUAUGUCUAAGAAGACGUUAUUAAAGCUUUUUUUCUGCUUAAGGUGACAUCUUUGAACACUUUAACACAAAAUUGACUCUUCUUGUAAUGGUUCUCAUCAGUGCAUCUGCCCUUAUACUCUCUCACCAAACACACUUGAGAACUGUAACUUCGUCAAGCACUUUCUGUCCUGAAGCUUUUACCAGUAUCUGCUGUCUUUUGUAUUUAUGCAUCCUAGCUAAGGCACAGGAUACGGAAUGAAUGCAAGGAUUCAUUAACUCUUUGAAUUUGUUAAAUACUAACAAUUAACCAUUAGAAGUGGUUCAAUGAUGUGAGAUUCACAUUGCUUCAACUUAUUUUUUCUUUGUUGUAGGUUUUUCUUUUUUUUUUUUUAUUGUCAGUUUUUAGCUAUUCAACUGAUUAAAAGCAAAAUCAUGCCAUAUUUAGUCCUGGAGUAAAACUCAAGUCUAAAUGUUCAUGUGAAAAUUAUUGUAGUAAACUUUUAAUAUGGCAAAGCAACUUUAAGCUGCAGUUUAGCCAAAUGAAACGUAACAUGAAAUUAUAUUAGAAUGACAUUUCCCUUGUUUCAAACUGUUUGGUGUAAGAGAAUAUUAAUAUGCAGCUUGGUGGAAAACACCAGCUAAUGCACAUUUCUUUAUUUUUUCUGUAACAUGUAUACCGAAAAAAGUGCAUUUGUCUGAGGAACUGUUUGUUUGCUACCACUCAAUGAAUCUCAGUUUUGAGUAAAUGUACCUCAGUCUAAAUCAGACUUUUUAUGACCUUUAUAACUACAUUUAAAAUAAUCUUUAAUUCCUAUUUCUGGGUGUUUGCAAGCCUGACAGAUUGCUAUCAUGGAAGUGAAAAUUUACUCCUCUAGGUGAUUCACUAGCUAAAUAAACCUAAUUCUUGUUUAGCAAGCAUAUACUCUGUUUCUCAACUUUUUUCCCCCCUCCUGUUAUAUUAUUUGGGCAUUCUCUGUAUUCGACAUUAGUUCUGGAAAAAUACUUUGAUCCAUGGAUUCAUUUUGUGUUCACCACUGUUUACAUGUUCUUGGCUAAAGCUAUAUUAUUGUGUGUUUAGGAUACCUAUUAAUCUGGAUACUCUUAUAGUAAUUUUUAAUUCUUUUGAAAAUAUCUUUUUUGAUUCUAUAGCAAGAUGAAUUCUGUCUUCUGGAAGAGAAUGUUCAAAAAUGCCAAGCAGCUGUAUUAACUGAAUAAAAUACUGAACAGCCUGUACGGACUCCAAGGAUAGCUUUCUCUUUUUAGAACAGCAAUGUAGAAGGCAGAUAUGUUAAAGCUUAAAAUAGCAAUACUGCAUAUUAUUUGAAUGUGUGUGGUGUCUCUUACUAACCAACACAAAUGUUUACAUUGUGUUUGAAAUCUUUGAUUUACAACAGUUUCUAAUCACCUACAUUGUGAAAUUUAAGGACAGGCAUUGCUUUUUUUUGUAUAAGCUAUUUUACAGUAUUGUGCUACUUUCUUCCUCCUGCCCCCACAUUAUAUAUCGAUAUAGAUAUAUAUCGAUAUAGAUAUAGAUAUAUAUCGAUAUAGAUAGCAUUUAAGACUUCUGACAAUUCUUUGGUAAGAAUGAGCGUAUUGAAACAAUCAGAUAGUUACGCAUAGUUUAGCUUAUCCCAGCUUUCUAAAAGUUUGAAAGGUAAGAGGCACCCAGCAAUGUAGAGAAGGCAGCAUUUGGGGGAGAUGAGUGUAGAUGGGGGAGAUGCUGAAGGCAGCAGGUGGAGAACAGGAACAGGGAGAUGGUUAAAGAAAAAAAGCUGAGCAUGUGGAAUGAAAUAAUGCCAAGCGAUUGGGCCAGAAGGAAGCUCUGGAAUCAUGGCAAGUCUUCCAGAAGCUGGGAUAGAACCUGGGAUUUGUGAGCCCACAGAUUCUUCAUACAGUAAAAGUAGCUUUAAAAACUCACUGACAGAUCUCAUCCCUCCCCACCCCCGCAACCUCCCCACCCCUCCGGCUGGUUGGUAGAGGAUAAAUAACUGAUCGUUGCUAUUAGUGUAUCGUUGUAAUGCCACCGCAUUAGUGCAUGUGGUAAAGAUUGGAGUAGUGACUCCAAAGGGUGCAGUUACCACGUACUUCCACAUGGUAACAUUUCCUUGUUUUCCAUUUGUUUUUUAAAAAUCUGAAGUUAUGUGGAAACCUUCACAACACUAGCAUUCUGACAAUGAAGCCAGGUAUUCACAAAUUACAAAAUUUGGUCCAUUGAUAGUUCUUAGUUACUUGAUCCACAUGUUUUGUUUUGUUUUUUCCUAUUGGCUUCUUUGCCUGAUUCAUUGCAGUACGUGGGCUUUGCUCAGGGAAUGAAUGAGACUUGUGGAAGAGGCUACUGCAUCAUUUGUUGUAGAAAUUGGAAGGUACAGAGGAAAGAAAACCAGAGAUUGCAAGAACAGAGAAUCAUGAGGCUUAAGGCACUUGUCACAGACUUCCUAUUUCACACUGGCUUUGCCUUUUGAAUCUAAAACUUAAGUGUGAUCAUUAAUAAUGUAUUUGUCACUUUCUGGGUGUCCAGCUGAAGACAUUUGGGGCCUGAUAUGCAUUAAUAUUGAAAACUCUCACAUAAAACUAAAAUCAGCAGCACUGUUUAAGCAUAAUAAAUUCUGUAAAAUAUCAGACCCUGAGUGUGUCCAACUGAGCAGAAAACCAGUGGCCACUUGUUACUUUUAGCCUUCAUCUUUCUGUGCCUGAGCCUAUCCCUCUGUGUAUUUAAAGAAAAAGGAAUAAAUGCUGCCUUAUUUUAAGAGUGCUGUGUUUAGAGUUUGCAAAGUAAUUAUGUUAUAGUGAUGAGAGUUGCAGAAACAUCCACAAUGAACAUACAAAUUCAGUAUUCAGUUUAAGGUUUGGAAGGUGUAUAGUAAAUAAGGUACAGUGCUAUGUGUUAAGAGUUUAAAGAAAUAUUAAAUGGCUACCAGUUGGUGAGUAUUCUUCAUUCUGUACAUUGAAUGAGGCAGGAGUCCAAUUGAGAAUACAGUAAGUGAUCAUGUACCUAAAGGGUGCAGCAUAAUGCAUGCAUAAGGAAUAAAUUAUAGUAGAGAAACUGUCAUAUUUUAAGUGUUCUGAAAUUUAAAAAUUGGCUGUUUUUGUAUGUGCUGAGUCUGGUUGAUCUUUCCCAGCAAAAGUUGGGUUGAAUAAGCGCUGCAUUGUAAAUCCAAUAAGCAGUGGCCUUAUUUAUUUAUAUAUAUUUUUUCCUAUCUAAACUAGCUUUCAAAAUUGCUAGUAUUUUUCUAGCAAGAAAGAUGUUAAAAUAGUUCUCCAGAUGUUUCUAACAGUAAGAAAGCCUAGUAUGGAUCUGGCCUUUUGUAAUUUGUUGCUGCAUUAACUUUUAAAUGGAUACUUUGAGGCAUUCAAAUACAAAAUGCUAUUCAUGGGGGAAUGGGUCUUGCACAUUUUGGAAAAAUAAUAUAAGCCAUUUGAUUAUUUCAACUCAUUUUACUGCCAUUUUCAUUUUAAGGAAAUAGGAGACACCUGUUUUCAAUAAUGUGUGUAUUGCCAUGUAAAGAUCAUUAUCUAAUUUUCUGAUAAACUUAAAAGAAAAAAUUAAGAUAGAAUGAUUCAUUUAAGUUCAUUCAUAGGAAAACAUGGGUUCUUGAAUUUUGUUUGUUCCUUCAUAUGAAUUAGAAUGCAGUUAAUUAGGUGAGAACUUCUGUUUGGCAUGGAAAUUCACCAUUUGGUCCUUUUUAAUCAUUCUGAGGGUUUCAAUAAAGAGAACCUGUUCACA